GAUGAACGCUGGCGGCGUGCCUAAUACAUGCAAGUCGAGCGAACAGACGAGGAGCUUGCUCCUCUGACGUUAGCGGCGGACGGGUGAGUAACACGUGGAUAACCUACCUAUAAGACUGGGAUAACUUCGGGAAACCGGAGCUAAUACCGGAUAAUAUAUUGAACCGCAUGGUUCAAUAGUGAAAGACGGUUUUGCUGUCACUGAUAGAUGGAUCCGCGCCGCAUUAGGUAGUUGGUAAGGUAACGGCUUACCAAGGCAACGAUGCGUAGCCGACCUGAGAGGGUGAUCGGCCACACUGGAACUGAGACACGGUCCAGACUCCUACGGGAGGCAGCAGUAGGGAAUCUUCCGCAAUGGGCGAAAGCCUGACGGAGCAACGCCGCGUGAGUGAUGAAGGUCUUCGGAUCGUAAAACUCUGUUAUUAGGGAAGAACAAAUGUGUAAGUAACUAUGCACGUCUUGACGGUACCUAAUCAGAAAGCCACGGCUAACUACGUG
This 497-nucleotide ribosomal RNA is filed under the name uncultured bacterium. RNAcentral's name for it is "partial 16S ribosomal RNA". It matches the Rfam family "Bacterial small subunit ribosomal RNA", at positions 28 to 507 of the family's 1533-position model. The record is from RNAcentral.